Molecule: ribosomal RNA, 120 nt
Organism: Dactylellina haptotyla CBS 200.50
Lineage: Eukaryota; Fungi; Ascomycota; Orbiliomycetes; Orbiliales; Orbiliaceae
Source: Rfam
AUCUACAACCACAGAACGAGGAGAACUGGGUAUCCCGUCCGCUCUGCCUUACAUAAGCCUCGUAUCGAUCAAGUAGUAGUAUCGUGGGUGACCAGAUGCGAAUUCUGAUUGUUGUAGAUC